RNAcentral lists this long non-coding RNA (3602 nucleotides) under Homo sapiens (human). Its description in RNAcentral is "HSALNT0114489". Lineage: Eukaryota; Metazoa; Chordata; Mammalia; Primates; Hominidae. The record is from RNAcentral.
UUCCAGGCUCAAGCGGUCCUUCUACCUCAGCCUCUGGAGCAACUGGAACCACGGGUGCACCCCACCACGCCCAGCUAACUUUUGUAUUUUUUUGUAGAGACAGGGUUUUGCCAUGUUGCUCAUCCCAAUAUCAUCACCAGAUGAGAAUAUGUAUGGAUUCAUGAACAAGAAAAUUGCUUAACCAUUUGAUCAAGAGAGAUUGGAAAAUCAAGAUGAAGCAGGUCUGGGUGAAAGAGCUGUGAAUGGAUUAAUGGAACAGAAAGGAGGUGUGGAGAUCCUUCUAUUACAUGUUAAUGAUCACCAGGGAACAUCCACUACAAUAGAACAUCCCACUAAAUCACCAGUAGACACAAGAGAAUAUGUGGCCAGUUGACUUUGGCCAGCCUCUGUCAUUAGAUGUCAAUGUUCAAACAACGGUACAUGAAUGGCAUAGCCCUGGUAGCAGGAGUGGGGGCUAUGCAUGGAUCCAGCAAUACACACUCCCACUCCACAACAUUGACCCAGCCACCAAGGCUGACAAAAUAUUCAACCUUCCAGCAACAGAAACCAAGGAUGACCCUUAUCCCUGCCCAGGGCCUCAGCUGGCACCAGCAUCUAAAGGCUUAGAGAGUUAGUGAUCCACCAACAUGGCAUCUCACAUAACAUCCCAUCAAACCAAGUGACCCACUUUACUAGAAAUGAGGUGCACGAGUGGACAAGCUCCAGCUUGACCCAAGUGGAACAAGCUCUACUAGUCCCAUCAGAUCAUGCACCAUCCAGAAGCUGCCACACUAACAGAGUGAUGGAAAGGCCUGUUGAAGGCAUAGUGGAUGAGCCACACCAUUGCAAGGUAAUGUCAUCGGAGGUUUAUUUAGCAUGUGUAUUACACCCAGAAGAAUGGUGUCCCAUCCUUGCAAGGUAAUGUCAUCAUCAGAUUCUCCUGGGUGUAAUAUACAUGCUAAACAAACAAUCAUUAUAUGAUGCUGUGUCCCCAAGAGGUAAAAUAUGUGGGAGCUAAGGAGUGGAAGCAGCAAUAGCCUCACUUACCAUCAAUACAAUUGACUCCUUAGGGAACUUGUGCCUAGGCUCUGUGGGUUUAGAGGUCCUGGUGCCCAAAGGAGAUGUGCUUCCAUCAGGGAAUACAACAAGCAUUCAAUUGAACAUGAGGUUAAGGCUGCCACUUGGGAGCAUCAGGCUCCUCAUGCCAAGAGAUCACCAAGCAAAAAGAGGAAUCACCGUACCAUGAGCAUUAAUCAAUCCCAUUCUUCAGAAGGAGAUGGGACUGCUGACACAAGGCCACAGAGAGGCCCCCAGAUAACUUGCCUGGGUGUCCCUUAGAAUUCCCUUGCCCAUUUUUUAAUAAUAGAUGGAUAAAUGCAACAGUCUCCACCUAACAAAGGCAUAAUGAUGGGACUUCUCAAGAGUGAGAAGCUAGGUCAUUCCACCAGCCAAGUAGACCAGCAGAGGUACCAAAAAGAGACAGGAAAUCUAGACUGUAAAGUAAAACAGGAAGAUUCCCCAGGAACAGAAGCCAACUGUGAUCCUAGAGGAGCUUCUCCUUAACAUGCAGAAAGAAGUGGAUCCAUGAAGCACAAGAGCUGAGCUGUCAUGGAAACUGCACAUCUCAAAUUUCCCAUCAGGACUGAAGGACCUAGUCCCCCACAGGCUGAAGACAGUCACCUUACCCAACUUCAUGCUCUCUUCCAGGGGCAGCCUGCAUCCAACAACUUGUCAGCACAGGACUAUAAAGGCCUUACCCUUUGCCUCUGUGAAGCAUCCCACAGAGAGGUGCAUCCACCUCUGAAGGUACAUCCCAGCUUCAGGCUCCCAGUCACUUUGGGCUUACCCAGCCUCUUCGUCUGCCCUGCUUUUCUCCCUCCCCUUCCUUCCUGCAGGUUUGGAUCCUGAGAGCACUCCCUAAUAAACCUCAUGCCCACAAAUCUCUAUCUUGGAAUCUGCUUCUUCGGAACCAAAUCUGGGACAGAUCAAUUUACAAAGAUAGAAGGGUUUAGGAAGGCAAAAGGGUUUCUGUUACCAUGUCUAGGCCUGAAGGGACAAAGAGAGGAACUUGGAGCAAGAGCCAUAUGGAAAAAACAAUCUGAAAGAUUGUAGGGAUUCUGGCAGAAGCACAAGGCCAAGCCCUGGCAAUCCCCACCUCACAUCCCUCCGCUCUUUCAUCUCCCCUUAGUGCCUCCCAUUGUAGAACCAAACUGGAAGUGGUGGUCAGUGGAUUCCUUUGUCUGUUUCUUAUAGGUCAGCCUCCUGGGGCAGAGAGCAUGUUAGAGUGUGGAUUUGGAGGUGCAAAUGAAAGUUACCCUGUAGCCCACUUGACUCUGUAGAUUUCUUUUUCUCUUACAGAAAAUAAAUUAAAUUAUGUAUCUUCUUUAGAGAUAGGGUAUGACUUCUAUUUUGAGUUAUCUGUGUCAUUUAAUUAAUAUACAAAUAAAAUGACAUGACAGAAAAUACUUACUUGAAUACAAAGGACAAGUAAUUAGAUCUUAGAUAAUAAAUCCAUCCCUUUAGAUAAGACUUUAGGCAAAUGGAUUUAUAAGUAAAAGCAAUAGGAAAACUUGCUACCUAAGCAUGAAAAAUGAUGUUCCUGAUAAAUUCCUGGAAGGAAGCUGGUGUCAGCCCCCAACUCCUUUCUAGGCCUCUACCAGCCUAUAUUCCAAAUGGCCCUGCCAUGGCUCUUCUUUUCUUAAGAUUUGAUCUUUCUCCAGGCAUGGAUGAACCACAUGUAAGACAUUUAAACAGCCCAGGUGCCAAAUUUAGUAGGGCUUAGGAUUACACAACAUUCCCAAACCUGGGAUCUGAAGGGCCAGGUGCUGACCAACAGGAUCCCAAAUUCAUCCCAGGGGCUCUUUGACCGAUAACCAGAAUGUGAAUUCAACUGCUGGAUGACCCCAUGCAAAGCUCUCCCUGGCGCUGAGUAAUCCAGUUCCCUUUUCAUUAAAAGCCAUCUACUUUCCCAGGAGGGGGAAUCCUUCUGCACAGCCCAUUCCUAUGACUAAGCUCUGUGUUCACAAGGAAGAUCUCCUCUCAGUCCUGCUAUGCCCCCACUGCUGAGCUUGGAACCCCAAUACUAAGUAUAGCCUGUGUCACAAUUGUUCUUGCUGAGAUCUUCUACUAUUGCCUGAACACAACUCAUUCCUGAUCCCCUCUAGUGAGUAUGUCCCUGGCCAUUUUUCAGCACUUUUAUCCUCUUUUCUUGCUCUGAGUUUUCAUGGACAGGGUAUCUAGGAAAAGGAAAAGGAAGAAGGAAUAAAUCAAAUGCCUACAGACCUUCAAAGAGUGCUCCAAAGCCAGUGUAAAGCACUGGGGAACAGUGAGGAUUAGGGCAAAAUAUUUCUUAUAAUGUUCUGAGUUUCAUGAGUUGAAGGCUUUAGUGCUUAAUGUCCAAAUGAUGCAAAUGAAAACACCCUUUCAUUCUUCUUUUCCUUUUUAAAAAACAAGGAAGAAGACAGUCAAAGCCUCAGUCUAUACUAUAUUUACACUUGACUCAAAUGCAUUAAUAACAUUGUAGACUAAGGAGGUAUCUGGGGGAAAAAUAGUUUUGUGAUUUAACUGUAGUGCAAAUUUUACCUAGUAAAAGGUUUUUGAUAUUUAUCCUCAGAGAAGAUCUA